GAGCAUUUGUGUCAUUUCAUGCUGCUUUUGAAAUGUUUUGGUCUGCUUGAGUCCUCGUGAUGCUCCUGUGACACCGAUGAACCUCCGUGUGUCACCAAAGAUCCUCACAUCAGAAGGCAAGGGCAGGCCGAGCUAAACAGCUGGCUGGAUUUGCAUGAAAAUGGACUGCCCUUUUUCAUUUGUUUGUUCUUGGGAAAUUACAGUAGGAAAUUCACAUAAGGAAUUGCUCCUGCUUUGCUUAUCUCCCAGCAGAGAUUCGAGGUUGAAUUUCCCAUGAGCUCAC
This 283-nucleotide long non-coding RNA is filed under the name Parus major (Great Tit). Its description in RNAcentral is "lncRNA (ENSPMJG00000004687.1)". Lineage: Eukaryota; Metazoa; Chordata; Aves; Passeriformes; Paridae. The record is from RNAcentral.